UACAGGGGGUGCAAGCGUUGUUCGGAAUUACUGGGCGUAAAGCGCGGGCAGGUGGCCUUUUAAGUCCUUUGUGAAAUCCCGGAGCUCAACUCCGGAUGUGCAUAGGAUACUGGAAGGCUUGGGACUGGUAGAGGCGAGCGGAAUUCCUGGUGUAGCGGUGGAAUGCGUAGAUAUCAGGAGGAACACCGAUGGCGAAGGCAGGUCUCUGGGCCACUACUGACGCUGAGAAGCGAAAGCAUGGGGAGCGAACAGG
This 253-nucleotide ribosomal RNA is filed under the name uncultured bacterium. Its description in RNAcentral is "partial 16S ribosomal RNA". It matches the Rfam family "Bacterial small subunit ribosomal RNA", at positions 524 to 776 of the family's 1533-position model. The record is from RNAcentral.